This is a long non-coding RNA of Homo sapiens (human), 2693 nucleotides long. Ensembl annotates it as TMEM72 antisense RNA 1. Its record names the gene TMEM72-AS1. The record is from Ensembl. NCBI's taxonomy places the organism in Eukaryota, Metazoa, Chordata, Mammalia, Primates, Hominidae.
GCCCCGAGCACGCCCCUCACUCCGCACCGGCCAAUGGCACCGCCCCGUCCGCCCCGCUCUGGGAACGCCGGGAUUCUUCUGGACAAGGAUGUGGUCAUAGAGGUCACAGGCUGAGAAUCAAUGGAGACACGUGGUGCUCAUCUGCUUAUGAGGAAGAUGCCACUUUCUUGCUUGGUCCACUGAUGGCUCCAGCAGAUGUGACAUAGACUGGAAGUGAUGGACCCAGACAACAAUCAGAACCAAAGCACCAGAUGAGCCACCUCAGCCACGUGAGCCAUGCCAGCCACCCUACCUGUGACCCCAUCUGUGGCCCCAGUUAUCAUGGAGUAGAGCCCUUUCUCUGUCUACAAAACCAACUUCCUCGCCCAGCUCAUGGGAACACUUAUUCUGUUGUAUAGAAUGAAGUGUUGCUUGAUUCUAGAAUCAUGCCAUUAAGAACAUUCAUGAUUCAUGAGAGGAGAUCAAAAUAUCAACAUAAACAGGAGUUUGAAAGAAGUUGAUUUCAACCCUUGUGGAUGACUAUGAGAGAUUCAAGGCUUCAGUGGAGAAUGCACCUACAGAUAUGGUGGAAACAGCAAAAGAAAUAGAAUCAGAAGUGGAGCCUGAAGAUUAAACUGAAUUGCUGCAAUCUCAUGAUAAAACUUGAACAGAUGAGGAGUUGCUUCUUACAGCAACCACUGCCCUGAUUAAUCAACAGCCGUCAACAUGUCAACAUCAAGCCUAGACCCUCCACCAGAAAAAGAUUACAAGUCUCCGAAGGCUCGGAUAAUCAUUAGUAUUUCUCAGCAAUGAAGUAUUUUUGAAUUAGGGUCUGUGGAUCAACACUGUCUCCCUGGCCUCUACCCAGCGCGCAGGACCCCUUAGCAGAGCAGGAGAACUCAGGUUGGAACUCAUUAUUGCAUGGUGCUUGUCUUGCCAUCUGUCCCCAUAAUGCCUUAAGUGACAAUGACAUAGGCAUCUGACAAUGUAUGUGGCCAUCACUUUUUAUCAUUUUAAGAUAUAUGGGCCUUCUUUUUCCAACUCUUUUCCCCCGCCAGACAGCCAGGAGCCCAGAGAAGGGUUGUGUUGUGUCCUUUACUGAGCCCCACAGGCCUGUGUGAGCCAGGGGCUUGGCAUGCCUGGGAAUAAGAGCGCCAGCCUUUGGCCUUCCCGCAGCCUCUCCUUGGGGCCUUUAGGGUCCCCACAGGCCCUCCCCUCCCCUCUGCAUUUUCCAGGAUCCAGCCAGCUGCCGGCACACUUUCGUCCUCCUCCGCACACGAGGAUCCCCAGGCCCAGCGGUGUUAGCCCAGAGAGGAGCGGCGUUUGGGAUGUGAUCCACAGCUGAUCCCUCGUGGCCCCUCCUCUCCCGAAUCCUGAAACAUGAGGAGGCCCUUCAGCUGCUGGCUCGGAGUCCGACUAUGGGAACUUUCUCCGGUCUACGGGGGCAGCAAGGGUCUCGCCUCAGGGACUUGGUUUAUUUAUCUAGCUGGACUCCAUCCCUUAAUAUCCUACUUACAGAGGAAGAGGCUUUAGCAGCUAAAUGCAGCCCCAUCCCCUCCUGUGGAGACUGUGAGCAGAAAAAGAACAGAUAUUUACAGAGGCCCGAGCCCCCCUUGUUGUUUUCUGCAAGGCUGUCGAGCUGGUGGAGCUUCAGGAUCCUGGUCAGGAACCCCGAACCCAGCGCUGGAGGCCCUGAAGAUCAGGGCACCCGACCCUCUUCCCAGCCGCCAAAGGCCUGUGUUGGUCUGAUUGUGGAUUCCAAGCUCUAAUUUCCAUCCAUCCUCCCAAUCCGAAUUCCCUUUGCAGACAUAAACACCAUCAGCAAUGUAGAGAAUGUGUUUCCUCAUCUUUGAAUAUUAACACUCAUCUGUUUAAUUGAGCUACUUUUUACAUACAUGUAAGAUGUGCUGCAAUUGCAAAAGAAACAUGUGCUUCGUGUUCUAUAAGCCAUAUCUUCCGCAAGACCUGCCAUCAAAUGAUUGCUCAAACAUUUGUUGAAUGGGAUGAGCAAUGGAGGUUCAGACAGGUGCCCUGACCUACCCAGGCUGGAGGGUAGGGAGCUAGAAAUUCAUACAACCAUGCCUUGUUCUACUUGUUUUGUGAAAGAAUCAUGUGACCAGUGACAAAGAGGCUGGGCAGCUGGGUCAGGCAGCAGGGACAGCGACUGAGCUGGGGGGACUACAGUGCUGUGCUCCUCUGCACCCGUGCUGGGAUGUCUGAGGCCAAGCUGACACUGGCCCCCCACAAUCCCUUGGGGCUGCUCCUCCUCAGGGAGUGGCUCUCCGGGUUUCCUGCUUGACUCCUGCUGCUCUUGUGUUGAAGGGCCGUCUCUGGGCAGCUCCCCCUGGCCCCUGGCCAGAGAGCCAGGCCCUGUCAGGCACGCACAUGGAGGAUGAGGGAGGUGCAGUUGUUUUCACAGGUGCAGACUCUAGAGGGACCCCACGUGGACUCUGUGGCUUCUGCCCCGACGCACUCGCGGGAGGACACAGCUCUGCCCGGAAGGGAGAGUGCUGAGCUGGGUCCCUGCUGCUCAUCUCUGUGGCAUCACCCUGUCAGUCCUUCCCUGUCACACAUAUGUUCCGCAAGACCUGCCGUCAAAUAUUUGCUCAGUCAAACAUUUGUUGAAUGGGAUGAGCCAUGGAGGUUCAGACAGAUGCCGUGACCUGAAGUGUCAAAUGAAGGGAUGCGUGUGUGAUGGCCUUCACCAUUUAUAU